RNAcentral lists this transfer RNA (69 nucleotides) under Ictidomys tridecemlineatus (thirteen-lined ground squirrel). RNAcentral's name for it is "Spermophilus tridecemlineatus (thirteen-lined ground squirrel) tRNA". It matches the Rfam family "tRNA". From Rfam's summary of the family: Transfer RNA (tRNA) molecules are approximately 80 nucleotides in length. Their secondary structure includes four short double-helical elements and three loops (D, anti-codon, and T loops). Further hydrogen bonds mediate the characteristic L-shaped molecular structure. tRNAs have two regions of fundamental functional importance: the anti-codon, which is responsible for specific mRNA codon recognition, and the 3' end, to which the tRNAs corresponding amino acid is attached (by aminoacyl-tRNA synthetases). tRNAs cope with the degeneracy of the genetic code in two manners: having more than one tRNA (with a specific anti-codon) for a particular amino acid; and 'wobble' base-pairing, i.e. permitting non-standard base-pairing at the 3rd anti-codon position. Lineage: Eukaryota; Metazoa; Chordata; Mammalia; Rodentia; Sciuridae. The record is from Rfam by way of RNAcentral.
GGGGUUGUGGCUCAGUGGAAGAGCGCUUGCCUAGCACGCAUGAGGCACUGGGUUUGAUCCACAGUACCA